UACUUCAAAUCAUAAUCAAUGUGAUUUAAUAGUUUAGACGUGGUUUGAUCGAUUCGUGUCGUUGAAGCAUGCUGAAAUCUUCUGAUGAACACCAACUCGAAGGUCUAAAUCAUCAGUUGAAUAUUCACUGAUAUUCUGGAGUUCUUUUUUGUUUGUCGGCUGGAAUUCUGUGUAAUUUUGGUGGUAUUUCUUGAUGGAGUUUGUAGCACUGUUUCAGCUGUCGGUCCUUGUGCUUUGGAUAUAUUUUAAGCUUUAAAAAGCUAAUUUUUGUUUAUUUCUGGGCAUU
Molecule: long non-coding RNA, 286 nt
Filed under: Nicotiana benthamiana
Lineage: Eukaryota; Viridiplantae; Streptophyta; Magnoliopsida; Solanales; Solanaceae
Description: long non-coding RNA (NBEN_LNC038238)
Source: RNAcentral